CAGGGAGACAACAAAAUGUUUAAUAUUAUUAUUUUGUCACCUUAGGUCGAUCGGUACCUCACAUUCUUAAUUUAUUAAGGAUUUUAUUUCCUAAGUUUUUUCUAGGUCACACCCAUUACUUUUCCUGGGCCAUUAGCUCAGGUGGUUAGAGCGCACCCCUGAUAAGGGUGAGGUCCCUGGUUCAAGUCCAGGAUGGCCCAUAUCUCUAUGUUGGGGGUAUAGCUCAGUUGGUAGAGCGCCUGCUUUGCAAGCAGGAUGUCAGCGGUUCGAGUCCGCUUACCUCCACUGAUUACCACCUCUUCCAUAAUUAUUAAGGAAAUGUUUUGAGUAGUGAUCAAAUUCUGAACGAAUCUAGCUUCCUAAUGAAUUCAUUAAGAUGCUGGACUCAUUGAAUUAUUUUCAUUGUUUUCAGAGAACCUUGACAACUGCAUAGAUUAUUUUUAAAGACAAUAAGCAUCUUUAUGAUGCAGAUUUAUUAUUUGUGCGAAUGCAUUAAUAACAAUUCUAUUAAGCUGAUGCUUCAAUUAUGAAGUUAUU
Molecule: transfer RNA, 537 nt
Filed under: uncultured Prochlorococcus sp.
Lineage: Bacteria; Bacillati; Cyanobacteriota; Cyanophyceae; Synechococcales; Prochlorococcaceae
Description: partial 16S-23S ribosomal RNA intergenic spacer
Rfam family: tRNA (bases 213-285)
Source: RNAcentral